UACGUAGGUGGCAAGCGUUGUCCGGAAUUAUUGGGCGUAAAGCGCGCGCAGGUGGUUUCUUAAGUCUGAUGUGAAAGCCCACGGCUCAACCGUGGAGGGUCAUUGGAAACUGGGGAACUUGAGUGCAGGAGAGAAGAGUGGAAUUCCACGUGUAGCGGUGAAAUGCGUAGAGAUGUGGAGGAACACCAGUGGCGAAGGCGGUCUCCUGGCAUUCUUGACGCUGAGGCGCGAAAGCUGGGGGAGCAAACGGG
RNAcentral lists this ribosomal RNA (251 nucleotides) under uncultured bacterium. RNAcentral describes it as "partial 16S ribosomal RNA". It matches the Rfam family "Bacterial small subunit ribosomal RNA", at positions 524 to 776 of the family's 1533-position model. The record is from RNAcentral.